Mercenaria mercenaria is the source of this 646-nucleotide long non-coding RNA. RefSeq lists it as uncharacterized. The transcript has 3 exons. NCBI's taxonomy places the organism in Eukaryota, Metazoa, Mollusca, Bivalvia, Venerida, Veneridae. The record is from RefSeq and is a predicted model, not a curated record.
GGAUAUGCUUGCAUGUUGUUUAAAAUUACAAUGCUUGUCCUUUAUUAAGUUUAAUGAGAUAUUUCAUAUACCACGUGAUACAUUAGAUCAGCGCAAUGUUUACUGCAUGUUAAUUAAUGCACUGGAAAUAUUACAGUUGAAGAAAAUGAAUACGAGGAUAUUUAUAGCUGCUUUGAUAUUGUCGUUGAUGUGUUGUGUAAAUACACAGAAGUUCCCGAAGAGGGAAGGACGAUAUCGUGAGGGAUUUCCCGGUGGCUUUUUUGUCGGGAACAGAUAUUAUUCUUACCGGGAUCCUCAAACCCGGUCAAGUAUCGGAAACGGAAAUGACCUUUUGGGAGGCGAAAGGAGAAGAACGUUUGGAAGGAAUUGGUAAAAAACAAAUCCAUGCAUAGAUUGAUGCGAACAAUUGCAGUGUCAACCUGACAACCAACAAUUUUAUGUAAAACAGUUUUGCUACCAAAAUGCAACAGUUUAUUACUUCAGUGUGUCUUUUCGCACGUUUGUUUAACUUAAAAAUAUAUGUAAAUGCAGUGCCUUAUACAUCAAAACUAAUUUGCCUUUCCAUCACAUUGUAUUAUGCUGAUUAACGUAGCGUCUAUUUUGACGUUAACGGUUUACAUAAUAAAUAGCACGUACUAAGAAAGAA